RNAcentral lists this ribosomal RNA (497 nucleotides) under uncultured bacterium. RNAcentral's name for it is "partial 16S ribosomal RNA". It matches the Rfam family "Bacterial small subunit ribosomal RNA", at positions 28 to 507 of the family's 1533-position model. The record is from RNAcentral.
GAUGAACGCUGGCGGCGUGCCUAAUACAUGCAAGUCGAGCGAACAGACGAGGAGCUUGCUCCUCUGACGUUAGCGGCGGACGGGUGAGUAACACGUGGAUAACCUACCUAUAAGACUGGGAUAACUUCGGGAAACCGGAGCUAAUACCGUAUAAUAUAUUGAACCGCAUGGUUCAAUAGUGAAAGACGGUUUUGCUGUCACUUAUAGAUGGAUCCGCGCCGCAUUAGCUAGUUGGUAAGGUAACGGCUUACCAAGGCAACGAUGCGUAGCCGACCUGAGAGGGUGAUCGGCCACACUGGAAGUGAGACAAGGUCAAGACUCCUACGGGAGGCAGCAGUAGGGAAUCGUCCGCAAUGGGAGAAAGCUUGACGGAGCAACGCCGAGUGAGUGAUGAAGGUCUUCGGAUCGUAAAACUCUGUUAUUAGGGAAGAACAAAUGUGUAAGUAACUAUACACGUCUUGACGGUACCUAAUCAGAAAGCAACGGCUAACUACGUG